UAGGUAAUCUUCGGCAAUGGGGGGAACCCUGACCGAGCAACGCCGCGUGAGUGAAGAAGGUUUUCGGAUCGUAAAGCUCUGUUGUUAAGGAAGAACGAGUGUGAGAAUGGAAAGUUCAUACUGUGACGGUAUCUAACCAGAAAGCCACGGCUAACUACGUGCCAGCAGCCGCGGUAAUACGUAGGUGGCAAGCGUUGUCCGGAUUUAUUUGGCGUAAAGCGAGCGCAGGCGGUCAAUUAAGUCUGAUGUGAAAGACCCCGGCUCAACCGGGGAGGGUCAUUGGAAACUGGUUGACUUGAGUGCAGAAGAGGAGAGUGGAAUUCCAUGUGUAGCGGUGAAAUGCGUAGAUAUAUGGAGGAACACCAGUGGCGAAGGCGACUCUCUGGUCUGUAACUGACGCUGAGGCUCGAAAGCGUGGGUAGCAAACAGG
This 430-nucleotide ribosomal RNA is filed under the name Bacteroidota bacterium. Its description in RNAcentral is "Bacteroidetes bacterium partial 16S ribosomal RNA". It matches the Rfam family "Bacterial small subunit ribosomal RNA", at positions 355 to 776 of the family's 1533-position model. Lineage: Bacteria; Pseudomonadati; Bacteroidota. The record is from RNAcentral.